Molecule: ribosomal RNA, 457 nt
Filed under: uncultured Streptococcus sp.
Lineage: Bacteria; Bacillati; Bacillota; Bacilli; Lactobacillales; Streptococcaceae
Description: bacterial SSU rRNA
Rfam family: Bacterial small subunit ribosomal RNA
Source: RNAcentral
ACAAGCGGUGGAGCAUUGUGGUUUAAUUCGAAGCAACGCGAAGAACCUUACCAGGUCUUGACAUCCCGAUGCUAUUUCUAGAGAUAGAAAGUUACUUCGGUACAUCGGUGACAGGUGGUGCAUGGUUGUCGUCAGCUCGUGUCGUGAGAUGUUGGGUUAAGUCCCGCAACGAGCGCAACCCCUAUUGUUAGUUGCCAUCAUUCAGUUGGGCACUCUAGCGAGACUGCCGGUAAUAAACCGGAGGAAGGUGGGGAUGACGUCAAAUCAUCAUGCCCCUUAUGACCUGGGCUACACACGUGCUACAAUGGUUGGUACAACGAGUUGCGAGUCGGUGACGGCGAGCUAAUCUCUUAAAGCCAAUCUCAGUUCGGAUUGUAGGCCGCAACUCGACUUCAUGAAGGCGGAAUCGCUAGUAACCGCGAAUCAGCAGGUCGCGGUGAAUACGUUCCCGGGCCUU